GCAAUGCCGUUGCAGUGGGGGGGGGGAAGACGGGGGGAGCGAGUGGUGUGCGGAAGUGCGGGGCGUAAAGCGUGGGUAGGCGGCUAUUCAAGGCAGAGGUGAAAGCCUGGAGCUCAACUCCAGAACUGCCUUUGAAACUAGAUAGCUAGAAUCUUGGGGAGGCGAGUGGAAUUCCGAGUGUAGAGGUGAAAUUCGUAAAUAUUCGGAAGAACACCAGUGGCGAAGGCGACUCGCUGGACAAGUAUUGACGCUGAGGUGCGAAAGCGUGGGGAGCAAACAGGAUUAGAUACCCGAGUAGUC
Molecule: ribosomal RNA, 300 nt
Filed under: uncultured Gaiella sp.
Lineage: Bacteria; Bacillati; Actinomycetota; Thermoleophilia; Gaiellales; Gaiellaceae
Description: partial 16S ribosomal RNA
Rfam family: Bacterial small subunit ribosomal RNA
Source: RNAcentral